Acyrthosiphon pisum (pea aphid) is the source of this 511-nucleotide long non-coding RNA. RefSeq lists it as uncharacterized. The record is from RefSeq and is a predicted model, not a curated record. Lineage: Eukaryota; Metazoa; Arthropoda; Insecta; Hemiptera; Aphididae. The transcript has 3 exons.
AUCCAUCAUUAGGGAGGCCAACUCAGUCUGGUGUCGACGUCCACACUGCACGUACUCGGUAUGCACAGUGCGCAAGCAAGCGGCAUGUUUCAAGUAUUCUGUGGGUGGAAUGUAUUCAAUUGUCGUUGGUCACUGACGGGCAAUUGAUAUCUUGUAGUAUGUCAGAGGCGGCUUCGGGUCCAACAGGCGGUGGCGUCAAAUCAGUGUAGUUGAACAGUGGCAGCGUGCGGCAAUUGAUCACGCGGCCGUCAUCGCAGCGCCCGUACGCGGCUUCGGACAGCUCUUCAGCGUCUACCAGGAGUUGUUGUUUGUCGUUGCCGACGACCGCAGCAGAUUGUGUCAAAGUCACCAGCGCUGCUACGCCUGCGGAAAGAAACAGAAAGAUGACCUUGAACUUCCACACCAGUUAUCUCAGUAAGGUCCAGUAGUAAAAAAAUAUUUAUAAAUUACGUACUUAUUAGUUAUUACUUAUUAGUUAUUAAUCAUAAUAAAAUUAGAAAUUUAAUAUUGU